UCUAUCGUGUCCAUAACAUAACCACCCUUUAUAGUCAUAAUCAUAUUCAUAUUCCUAUUUAAUUGAACUUCUCUUUGUAAGUCAGACUAGUUCCAAUUUUAGAUUUUCUUUUUGUUGUGAACACAUAACAUGAGGAGUGUAACAUGGAAUUUGAGCGUGUACAUAUAUGGUUACUUCUUCGUCCAAUUGCUUCUAUGCUAUGUAAAUUUAUACAAAUCAUGAUUUUGUAUUUGUUUUCUAGCACUCUUUGAUAAUAUGAGACAUGUUCAAUAUAAAUCAUUGUUCUUACAUUUUACUUUCUAACACUAAAUAAUAAUGAGACAUAGGAUGAUAUCCGGUAAAUAAAUAAAAGAAAGAUUUUCAUGUUUGCGUUGGCAAGCUGAGUAGGAGACUGAAUCACCAUGAGUCCACAGUCCAACACGUUUCAGCCGCGUGGUAGAACGUCGACGUGGAGGAGGAAGAAGGCACAUGUCUGUUUUGGUUUUGUAGAUCUGCAGAAUAUAGGUUGUGAUGGUGGACUUUUGUUUAGAUAUGAAGAUGGUGAAGUGUUGUGGUAUGGGUGGGUCAAUCUCUCUGAAUUCUAUCGCACACUCUCAGUCACACACGUUAGAGAGGAGAAAAAAAAGUUGCAUAAUUAAGGCUUAAAUUGUGCAACAUUGUACAUGUUAGAAAAACCCAUAAAGGGGUGUUUGUUUGAGGGUUACAAAAAUAAUUCCUAGGAAUUUAAGGCUGGAAUUGAAUAUUGCUUUGUUUGGUAGAUGGGAAUAACACAAAUAUACCAAGGAAUACAUUUUUCUCAGGAAAGUCUUUUACCCAUGUUCACCCCCAUGUUCUACCCAUUUUUCCUGUCUUUUAUUCCCCUGAGAUAGCAUGGGAAAGUUUUAUUCCCAGAGAAUAAAAACCAUGAUCUCCAACAAAAUACCUCUUCUACCCUUGCCAUUCCUGCUAUUCUUUUUCUCUGAUUCCCGCUAAACAUUUUCACCCAUGAUAUUCUGUAUAAAAAGAAACCCAUGAUCUUUGUGUGUGCAUCAACUACUUGCCAAUUGGGUUUUUGAUUUCACUCUUCUAUUCAAGGUACCAUCUAAUUUCAUCAUAAUUCUUCCAUUACUCAACAUAGAUUUGGUGAUUGAUAUCAAUUCUCUGUUUUUUUGUCUGCUGUUUGUUGCUUAUUGCUUUGUCUCAACCCAUUUUUGUUCAUUUUUUUUGAGAAAUUUAACUCAGUUUUGUUUCAUAUUUUUUUUCCACUGUUUGGCAAUUCUUGUUUUUUUCCCAAUCAUGAAUCAAUGCAAAAAAAAGUUUAGAGACAACUUGUUUUUAUUACCCCACCUUCUUCUAACUUUUCCCAAAAUAUGCUAAUAACCAUGACGCUGAAUUCUUUGUUCGUAAAACUUCAGCACGUGCUAGUAAUAACCAAUAAGCCUGUGUUAUAACUCUAAUUUUAAAAAUGAAGUAUAUAACAUGUUCUUUUUUCAACUUUUAUACUGCUUAAUAUUAUCCAUAGAUGAUGUUGCCAAAUGUGACAUAUUAUCUAAGAAAGUGAGAUUUGUCAAAUUUGGAAUCACUAUAUAUUUAUUAGUUGUGUAAUGACAUCAAUUAUACUUUGAAUUCAUUUACUAUAUUGGUUGUGUAUCUAGAACCAUGUAGCUAUAGGAUACAACAACUGAGCUCCUAGUUGUAUUAUUAAAGCUUAGCAACUUGAUAGUGAAAAUCUGCAAGAUGUGGUACAUAAUCUAAGUCAAGUAGUAUGAUGUUCAACGUUAUAUCUCUGUGCACAAUUUGACAUUCUUUUGUUCCAUCAUGAUAUUCCCAAGUGUGAAAUAUUCCCAGGUUGCACACUAAAAGCUACCCCACAUAUUGAAUCAAGAGUGAAACUGCUUAAAAGAUAAUAUUCUGCAAUCAAAGAUAUGUUGGGUCCAGGUGCAAGUGGUUUUGGGUGGAAUGAUGCUAGAAAGAUGAUUAAAGUAGAGAAGGAGAUUUAUCGUUAAUGGUGCAAGUUGGUUUGUAUGAAAAACCAUUUCCACACUAUGAUAGCUUGGAUACUGUAUUUGGAAAAGAUAAAGCAGCUGGUACUGUAACAGAAGAUAUCAUUGAUAUGACUAUUGAGAUGGAGAAGGAAAAUGUUCAAUCAACACAAGAGGGAAGAUCAUGAAUUAAUUUGAAUGAUGAUGAUGAUGCUGAGAAUUUUGAGUCGCAGAUGCUAGAAACACCCACAACUAACACUACUGCUCCGGGUUCAAAUCCAACAAACCAGCCACAACGUGAUUCUACUAAUUAUAGGAUCGGAAAGCGUGGGGGAAAAAGGGUGAAGUAUAACGAUGAUGCUUCUGAUAGCACGUCAAAUUCAUUGAACAAAUUGGGUGAGAUUUAUGCUAAUGGUGUUGAGAAUAUGAAACAAGUCUUCACUUAUUGUUUUGUGCACGAGAAACACACAACUGAUAGGAGGAACCAGAUUGUCUCUAUUUUAAAAUAAAUUGAAGGACUGUCUGAUGCAGAAGUGGUAAUGGCUGGUAUGCUUAUCACCAAAGACAAUAACCUUUGCAACUAUUUUUUCACAAUGGAUACUCCUGGAUUGAGGAAGCGGUUUGUGGACAUUGUUUUGAGUAACAAUGGUUCUAGGUAGAAUUUAGAAUGUUCAUUGCUUUUUGAAUUUGGUAAAAAAAACUCAUUAGCCACUGUCUUUAAUUCCUUUUAUUAUUUAGUUGAAUCCGUUA
Medicago truncatula (barrel medic) is the source of this 2711-nucleotide long non-coding RNA. RefSeq lists it as uncharacterized. The record is from RefSeq and is a predicted model, not a curated record. Lineage: Eukaryota; Viridiplantae; Streptophyta; Magnoliopsida; Fabales; Fabaceae. The transcript has 2 exons.